This 435-nucleotide ribosomal RNA is filed under the name uncultured bacterium. RNAcentral's name for it is "bacterial SSU rRNA". It matches the Rfam family "Bacterial small subunit ribosomal RNA", at positions 958 to 1392 of the family's 1533-position model. The record is from RNAcentral.
AACGCGAAGAACCUUACCUAAGCUUGACAUCCCACUGACCUCUCCCUAAUCGGAGAUUUCCCUUCGGGGACAGUGGUGACAGGUGGUGCAUGGUUGUCGUCAGCUCGUGUCGUGAGAUGUUGGGUUAAGUCCCGCAACGAGCGCAACCCUUGUCUUUAGUUGCCAUCAUUAAGUUGGGCACUCUAGAGAGACUGCCGAGGAUAACUCGGAGGAAGGUGGGGAUGACGUCAAAUCAUCAUGCCCCUUAUGCUUAGGGCUACACACGUGCUACAAUGGGUGGUACAGAGGGCAGCCAAGCCGUGAGGUGGAGCAAAUCCCUUAAAGCCAUUCUCAGUUCGGAUUGUAGGCUGAAACUCGCCUACAUGAAGCUGGAGUUACUAGUAAUCGCAGAUCAGAAUGCUGCGGUGAAUGCGUUCCCGGGUCUUGUACACACCG